CAGUCGCCACGGGAAUACGGAGGGUGCAAGCGUUAAUCGGAAUUACUGGGCGUAAAGCGCACGCAGGCGGUCUGUCAAGUCAGAUGUGAAAUCCCCGGGCUUAACCUGGGAACUGCAUUUGAAACUGGCAGGCUAGAGUCUUGUAGAGGGGGGUAGAAUUCCAGGUGUAGCGGUGAAAUGCGUAGAGAUCUGGAGGAAUACCGAUGGCGAAGGCAGCCAUCUGGCCUAAUACUGACGCUGAGGUACGAAAGCAUGGGGAGCAAACAGGAUUAGAGACCCCUGUAGUCCCUGUCUCUUAUAC
This 301-nucleotide ribosomal RNA is filed under the name uncultured bacterium. RNAcentral describes it as "partial 16S ribosomal RNA". It matches the Rfam family "Bacterial small subunit ribosomal RNA", at positions 509 to 807 of the family's 1533-position model. The record is from RNAcentral.